RNAcentral lists this ribosomal RNA (301 nucleotides) under uncultured bacterium. RNAcentral describes it as "partial 16S ribosomal RNA". It matches the Rfam family "Bacterial small subunit ribosomal RNA", at positions 509 to 807 of the family's 1533-position model. The record is from RNAcentral.
CAGUAGCCACGGGAAUACGAAGGGUGCAAGCGUUAAUCGGAACUACUGGGCGUAAAGCGUGCGUAGGCGGUGAGUUAAGUCUGCCGUGAAAUCCCCGGGCUCAACCUGGGAAUGGCAGUGGAUACUGGCUCGCUAGAGUGUGUCAGAGGAUGGUGGAAUUCCCGGUGUAGCGGUGAAAUGCGUAGAGAUCGGUAGGAACAUCUGUGGCGAAGGCGACUAUCUGGGCCAACACUGACACUGAGGCACGAAAGCGUGGGGAGCAAACAGGAUUAGAUACCCGAGUAGUCCCUGUCUCUUAUAC